GAUAUUACAGUGAGCUUUAUUGAAGACAUAUGAGAUAACCAAGUGUAUGAACAGUCUCCUUCAAAAAAAAAAAAAAAAAGAUUAGAAUACCCGCGAUAUUAAAGACUCCACCUCCUUAAGUUUUGUCCGUGAGAGGAAAUAUUUAUUUUUGUGCUAAAGAUGUUCCUUAGCUAAUUAUAGUUUUAAAAGAGAAAACGAAAAAUAGCGUGGUGAGUUUCUUUUAUUAAAAUUAAAAUUACAAGCUUUCAAGCAAAAUGCUUUUCUUCAGGUAAUCCAAGAAAAAUAUAUAUGUGGAGAGGUAAAUACACCCACCUAAGUAAGAUUUGAAAAUUAAAGCAGAAUUGCCACGAACAAGCACGUAUCAACACAACUAGAGAGCGAGCGAGAAAUUCAGUUUAAAAUAAAUAAAAUAUAUACAUAAUUCGGGAAAACACUUGAGGUUAAACUUCCUUAUGCGGGGUCCAUAUUAUUACAAAAAGCUAUGUACUGCGGGGGUAGCUCUAUUUUUCUAUUGAGGCUUGGAAUUUUAUUGGAAACCAAAGCCUCCAGGACCAGUCUUUGAUAUUUUCCGCUUAUGUUACUGUAAAUACAUUGGGUGUCUGUGAAAUCAAAUGAAUGCUGUGUUUCUGCCAUGUGCUGAUAAAUCUGGGAACGGCUGUCUUUGUUCAUGAUGUUUCUAUUGUGUUCUUUAGUCCUGAUUUCUAUGGUUCUGCCGGUUUCACCAACAUAAUGUAGUUCGCAAUUUGAGCAUUUAAUUUUGUACACUGCGUUAGAGGCGGAUAGUGGGUCCUGCUUUAUAGAACUUUUUGUGAUGGGAUGCCGGAGUUUGAGUUCGACGGAAGGUGAAUUACUAAAAUGCGUGCGAACACCGUAUUUUCUCAAGAAACGGGCAAUAUCAACGUUGGUUUCGGAAUACGGGAGAACGCAAGUCGAUUUGUAAACGUUUGGGAUUGUAUAUGUACGUUGUUGGUACGUAUGGCGCCGGAUAAAAUCUAUGGAAUAACCGAAAGACGAAAGGUUACGAUAAAUGUUAUUUCUCUCGACCGUCCUAAAGAUUUCUAGAGAACAAUGAGUAGAGAUCCUUUUUGUUAGUGUUUUGAUAGUUGUGAUCUUAUGAGAUGCAGGUGCAUGAGAACCAUAAUAAAUAUACGUGGGGUUAAAUUCUGGUUUGUAGUAUACCGUGGUUUCUAUGUUGCUGCCGUGAUAUGGGGGAGAUCGGAAGAAGCCAGGAGUUUUCUGAGUUCUUUGAUGAUGAGGUCGUGGGGGAGACAUAAAAAGAGGGAUUUUACAUCAUACGUGCAGAUGGAGUAGUUUUCUGAGUUAUCUAUUUCUUUUAAUUUGUGGAUAAAGUCGCUUGAGUCUUGAAUAAAAUGGGAAUUAUAUGUCUUGAUCAACGGUUUUAAGACAUAGUUUUAUUCGGCUAUUCUACCAAAAAUAAUGUUUAAACUAAAAUAUAAAAAUAUAGACAAUAUUGGUGUGUGUGUGUGUGUGAUAAAAGAAAAAGUACUUAGAGACAACAAUGGACAAAUAUUAGCUGAGCUAUUCAUUUCUACGGGAUGGUAAGGUGCCGCUGAGUAUAUCAAUAUACUAGGUUAGGUUUAGUUAUUUGCUUGUUUAUUUUUUAAAUGAAACUGGUUUUGUUUAUACCGUGAUAUAUAUAUUAGGCCUAGCUCGGAAUAAUACAAUCAGCUGAUGUGCUUUCACCGUUCGCAGUAGCUAAUUUAUUUCGUCUCAGUUUACAGACAUUCGAGCAUAUCUGACCUGGUCCUAACUAUUUACAUAUGGCGAUAUAUAUACUCUGCCUUUGCCGGUCCCAAGCCCGGAUGAAAAAGGAGGAGCAGUAACAAGCUCGGUAAAAAACCUGGGCUCAGCUGGCCCGGCUGAUAGUACCCUGUAAGGGCUCCUAAUCCAGGGAUACAGGAUGAGCAGCGUUUGUACUCCAUGUUAGGAGCGGCUGCACAUGGCGUCUGUUCCUCAUGUCAGAGGCGGCCAUUUCUUUUGGAGUUAAAUCGGCCUGCCACUGAGUAGUGCCCCCAGUCUUAAUGACAAAGGCAGACGCAUUCUACUUCACCCAGUGUGGAGAUAAGAAAGAAGAAGAAGAGACAUAUAGCGAGUUGGUAGAGUAGAUGUGACCUCCAAGACCUUGCAGGCGGGCAGCUUUAGUAUUUCUAUUUAUAGUGUUACGACGCUUUUCAGCGGUUGUUGUUUGCGUACAAGACUCAAUGUAGGUUCGUUGUGGAUAACAGCUUAGUUCGUUAUAUUUUAUUGUCAGUUAAUGGAAUGGGGAACUAGAUAGAUGGACUUGUCUCCAAUGUCCACCUUCAGAAGUAUAUUCCUCUUCAACGUUCCGCUUCACACUAUACACGUCCAGCCUGGACUACACCGCUUUGUAGGCCGCUCCGAUGUCAGUCUCUCCUGGCACCGUCUUACAAGAUUAUCUACACGUCUGGAGGCAACACGCUGCUCCAUCCACUUGCCGCAGAUAUGACCAGACUCUGUCCUCCCCUAAACCGGAAUGCUGUUUUUGGCGUCUGUUCCCCUCACACAUAGCAGCUGAAAUCCACCCAUCUUUCCCAAACUUUUACUCUGGUAUCUUAGCCUUUCAGAUAGCUUUUCAUCCAUUUUACAACAGAAAAAUGAAAAAAGAAUACUCCAGAAUUGUUCACAUUUUAAACAUUUUAGGAUACGUGUCAUUUGAGAUUAUUGAUUGAAAAGAUAUGAUUUGCAUAUGUAUGUUGACUAUUAUCUAACUGACACCUUAAAUAUAGUAAUAUGCAAAUAAAAAUAUCAGUGGUAUGCAAAUUAAAAUAAUUGAAUAUUUAGAUAAAAAAGUCACUUAUUUAUAAAGGUAUUAAGAAGUUGGCGUUAUUUUUUGGACCAUUCUUGAAUAUUUAAUAGAAUUUAGAGAAAUGUUUUUUAAAAAAUAACAUUUUACAAUAAAAAGUGCAAUUAAUUUUUAAAUCAGACAAACAUUAUUUCGAUAAAAAAAAAUAAAUAUGAGAUGCUUAUAUUUAAGAAAUGGUUAGUGUAAAAAAUAUAUAUAUUUUGAUGUAAAACGUUUAUAUUUAUUUUAAAAUUUAAACAUUUGUUGUAUCUUUUAUACGGGUUCAUUUACCUUUAGCUUUAUAUAUAUUUAAUAUAGUUACAGCCUUUAUGUAUAUAGACAAUUAAUAUACCGCCGUGCUAGAACAAUUAUAUAUUUAUUAUGCGGCGUUGUUUACAUACUGUGUUGCCAGAUCUUUUGUAGCACAGUUUAUAACUAUAUACAACAUGUUCCCCUUUUAAUUAAAGUCCGGGGUCGAAUCUUUUCGGAGGCUUUACCACACGUCCACUUCUAGUGGUGUAGGCAGUGCCUCCUUCAUUGUAGUUUCCUAUGGGAGUUGAAGUGGAAGGGGCCAACUCUUCAGGACUGAGGUUCAGGCGGGGAAAUUCUCCUGGUUCCCUUUGACCACUGGACUCCGAUGAUGUCGAGGGGGCUGGAUCCAAUUGGGGCGAUGACUGGCUGCUCCUUCUCUGUCCAACAGGAUAACUUCUGGGCCGUAGGUGAACUCUGUUCCGUUUUAACAUUCGGCCCUCGUUGUUCUGAAUGAUGUAUGAUCGAGGCUGGUUGGCUUCUCCAAUGAUGGUAGCUGGUCUCCAGGCAUCGCUAGUUUUGGCAUUUACCUGUUCACCAGAACUCAUUUUAGGAAGUAUUUUGGCAUUUCGGUCAUAAUAUUCUUUCAUCUUAUAUUGAUUUUCCCUCUUCUGCUGUAGAAUGUUUUCCGUGCUAAUGAAAGCAGGUUUUAGCUUUGUGGUUUUCAUUGGGAUCAAGGUUCUCAAGUUUCUUCCCAUUAGCAUCUGAGCUGGGGACGGUAGAUUAUUUGACGGAGUUGUUCUCAGGGCUAUUAAACACAUAUAAGGAUCAGUGUUGUCUUGACGGCAUUUCUUAAGUUGCUUCUUUACUGUUUGCACCAUCCUCUCCACUAAUCCGUUUGAUUUUGGGUAUCCUGGGCUAGAGGUUUUAUGUUCUAUGUCCCAUUCAUUUGUAAAAUUAGUAAAGUCUUGUGAUGUAAAUGGUGGUCCAUUAUCAGUGAUGAUGAUCUCUGGAAUCCCAUGUCUUGCGAAGGUAGAUUUCAAAACUGGUAGAAUCUCUUUUGCUGAAGUUGAUGCUACCUUGAUGACUUCAGGAAAGCUGCUGUAGUAGUCUACUAUUAUUAUGAAUACAGAUUGGUCUAGAUAGAAGAAAUCAAUAGCUACUUUUUGCCAAGGGUAGUCUGCUAUUUCGUGAGGUAUAAGUGGUUCUUUCCUUUGCGAAGGUUGUGAUUCUUGACAAAUUCUACACUUAUAAACCAUCUCUUCUAUUUCUCUAUCCAGUCCCGGCCAAUAAAUAGCUUCAUGUGCUCUGUUUUUACAAGCAGAGAUCCCUUGAUGAGACAUGUGUAGUGUUUGCAAGAUGCUUUCCCUUUGGACUUUAGGGAUGACAAGUCUUUGUCCUCUACAAAUCAGGUCUUUCCAUAUAUAUAGUUCUUCUUUACAAUGCCAGUAGGGCUUAACAGCAUAGUCCACACUUUUCUUAUGAAUAGGCCACCCAUUCAGUAUAUGAUCCCUUAAUUUUAUCAUUUCUUCAUCUGACUCCAUAUCUCUGAGAAUUUCCUGGUAUCUUUUAGUGGUCACCUUCAGAUUUAGAGUCAUAAUGGUGUUCUGGAGAUCCAGAUCUGAGGUGUCGAUGGUUUCCUCUGAAAUUGAAUCUCUAGAUAGAGUGUCUGCGGUGUGAAUCACUUUUCCUGGUACAUAUUCUAAAUUAAAAUCAUAUCGCAUCAAUUUCAAGACCAGUCUUUCAAGUCUUGGAGAUAAUUCCUCUAGUGGCUUUUUUAGUAUAGCCAACAAGGGUUUAUGAUCCGUCUGGGCUGUGAACUUUCUUCCAUACAAAUGAUAGUUAAAUCUUUGGCAUCCAUACCAGAGAGCUAAGAGCUCCUUUUCAAUCUGGGCAUAUUUUUUCUGAGUGUUAUUCAAGGAUGCGGAUGCAAAAGCGAUGGGUCUUCCCUCUUGCAUCAAGACAGCCCCAAGCCCAUGUUGACUAGCGUCCACUGAAAGUGUUACCUUCCGAUGGGGGUCAAAGAGGCCAAGAACUGGAGGAUUUGAUACCAAAUUUUUCAGCUCAAUGAAUUCUUUUUCUAUAGCCUCAUUCCAUGUCCACAGGGUAUUCUUUUUUAGGAGUUGUCUUAACAAGACAGUUUUAUCUGCCAGAUUAUGCAUGAAUUUAGCUAGAUAGUUCACAGUUCCCAAAAAUCUUUGAAGAGAUGUCUUGUCCAUUGGUCUUUUUAUUUUUUGUAUUGCUUCUAAUUUAGAUGGAUCUGCAGAGAUGCCAUUCUUGGAUAUCUCAUGUCCAAUGAACUUAACUUUUUCUUGGGCCAGUUGCAUUUUAUUGAAUUCAAACUUUAAAUUAUUUUUUCCCAGAGGUACAUGAAGCCUUGCAUUUGCCCCUUAUUGGUACUUUUUCUCCUGUAUAUGAAUAAACCGCAAUCCCAGUUGGAUAUAUGCAGGGUUUAUUUUGCCAAUUUUUAAUGGUAUCCAAUGGCAGGAUGUUCACCUGUGCUCCUGUGUCUAAUUUAAAAUUAACUGAAUUAUUCUCCACCAAGAUUAUUUUAGUCCACUCUAGACCAGUAAUGCUAUCUAGGGAUAGGUAUUGAAGACACAUUUCUUCUUCCUCUUCCGCUCUUCCCUCCAACAUAUGCACUCUGUUCCUACACAUUUUAGCAAAAUGGUUUGGUUUUUUACAUGAAUUGCAUAUUUUACCAUAUGCAAAACAUUUACCAUAUGGAUGUCUGGAACCACAAUUUUGGCAAACCUUUGCAUUAGGAUGUUCCUCAGAUACAUUAGGUUUUCUACCAACUGGAUAUUUGAAAUUCUUUUUAUAUUGCUUUUUAUAUUUUAUAGAAUGUAAAUCAACAUCUUCUCUAGUUAUAUUUUUUACUUGUUGUCUAGAAGUUUCAGUAGCUCUUCCCAAGUCUAUGGCUUUAGCUAAAGAAAGAUCAGGAUCUUGUAGCAUCCUUUCUUUUAAAGCUUUGUCUUUAAUUCCAAUUAUAAUUCUAUCUCUGACCAAGGAAUCUGCAAGCUCUCCAAAUUCGCAGUCCAUGCUUUUAUUUUUCAAUUCAGUUACAUAGUCAUCAAAAUUCUGAUUCUCCCCUUGUUCCGUUGUAAAAAACUGGUACCUCUUAUAGGUUGUGUUUUUAUAUGGUUUAAAGUGUCCAUCAAACAGUUCAAGUAUAUCCGGAACAGUCGGAGAGGCAUCAGUUUCUUGUAUUUUAAAUGUAGAGUAUAUAUCUAGGGCUAACUCACCAAUAUUAUAGAGUAGAAUAGCCCUUUGUCUUGGAAUAGAUUUUUUAUCUAUUUCUGUGGCUAUGUAAAACAUUUGGAAUCUCUUUUUCCAUUUACCCCAUGCUUCUGAUGGGUUUGUUCCAGGCACAAAUGGCUGCAAACUAUUCCCGGUACUCGAGGCCAUUUUUCAACGUGUUAGGCUUAAUUGAUAUUUGAAAUUUUACUUAUCUUUCAAAAUCCCACCGCUGCCACCAUGUUGUAUCUUUUAUACGGGUUCAUUUACCUUUAGCUUUAUAUAUAUUUAAUAUAGUUACAGCCUUUAUGUAUAUAGACAAUUAAUAUACCGCCGUGCUAGAACAAUUAUAUAUUUAUUAUGCGGCGUUGUUUACAUACUGUGUUGCCAGAUCUUUUGUAGCACAGUUUAUAACUAUAUACAACAACAUUGAUAAGUUUUUAUGGCCUCUUCAUUCAAUUUAUGACUUCAGACGUUAUUAAAUGUAAAUGGCGGUGUGUAAAUAACUGCGGGGCAAUUGUCCUAAUAUUUAGCAGACGCCUUUUUUUUUUUGGCGGGAAAAUAGUUUUUAUUUGUUUAUUCCUCUCAACCCACGCCCUUAGAGUAUAUAUAUGAUAAUUUUUUAAAAAAUCAUUAUUAUUUUUUUUUUAGUGGGCAAUAUAAGAUGAAAUUUAUGUUUUCUUAAAUUUCUUUAAUAUAUUACGCUCUAUAAAUUCAUUAAAAAAUCUAAUAUAUGCAUCUUUUUUAAAUAUUACGCUCUAUAUAUAUAUAGAGAGAUGGGAAUUUUGCCUGGGAGGAAAUUGAUCUAAUAAAAUAAAGGUCGCAUCUCCCGUUUUUUUAGAUUAAUUUCCUCCCGGCAAAAUUUCCAUCUAUAUUUUGGCCAUAGAUUUGGCCUAACCACCUUACCAGCUAAACAUCUCUUUGGUAGAUUAUGAAGAUUCCAUUUGAUCCCUUGUGAAUAUCAUGAAAUAAAGUCCGCCCUAGACUGACGAAUUAGCUCGAAACCUUGGUCUCUAGGGGGACGUUUCUCAGUUUGCCAAAGUUGGUGUUGUGGCUUUGUCAACGACCUGAGUCCGCUAGUUUGCGGAGACGGUCAAAAGUUGCAUAUAAUGGAUUAGACAACCAUCCGGAAUCUCUAUCAGUCCACGACACGCCGGGGGACAGCCUUCAUUCAAGUCAGUGGUGGUACCAACGACAUGUUGACUUUCUCAAUUUGUGACAAUCACAAACUCUGGAAUGGGGGUCGGUGUAAGAAUUGUCUAAACCGUUGGUUUUCGACCACUACGACCUGGGUUCGAUUCCCAUAUUGGGCACUUUUUAUGAUUAAAAAAAUGCUCCAAUGGCCCCACGAUUCUUGCAAAAGUCCAACCCCACCAGCGAAUGUAAGUAACCAAACGGGGCUCUGGCACAUUUGUAAGUGCAAAGUUGAACUGCUUUUCACAUGUGUAGACAUAUGGUGCACUUACAGUAAAAGCAAUCGCUAUGAUUAUAAUGGCCUGUACCACGUGUACUAGGGAUAAGCAAAAAAACUCUGGAAUAAAACAAUUAAUUGUUCUGAUAUUUUGUUUUUUUUUUAACUAUACACACACACAUACAGCUUUAUUAAGACCACCGGUCUUAUACAGAUUCACCACAGGAAGGAAGCAUAGAUAGAGCUCCUAUUAUCCAGGCAGCACAGAACCCAACAACAGCCUCCAGGUCCGACACAGUAGCCACACCGUGUCAAGGUUAACGUAUCACUGAAAAGACGAGUGUGGAAUCAGCCGUGUUCUAGUCUUCACUUUCCUCAUCCAAAUGGACCACGACAUUCGGCGAUUCUAUUAAUCCCCUCUAAACAUUGACUGAGGAGUUUUUUUUCAACUCUACAUGUUUUUCACAUACACCAAUUACUGUCCCAAUCUGACAACUCCUUCUUUUCGCGUCGAUUUUUUGUUUUAGAGUAAGUUAUUUACCUAAUAGUUAACUAUAGUUAAUGCAUAUAGAGAGGGAAUAUGUAAAUAUAAACAAAUUUUAACACCUUACCAAAUGUUUUAUUUUUAUUUAUUUCUCCUGACGAAGACAAAAUAUUUUUGUCGAAACGUUGAGAAAAUAAAAAACCUCUAACUGGCCGAAGUGUCUAUUUUUCAUAGAAAAAGAAUAUUCUUAUACAUUGCAUUGGUUAUUUUCCACACAACUCUAUUUAUAUAUUAAGUUUUUAUAAUAAAAAACAAAUAUUUAGGAAAUUUUAAAAUAUUUUUGACAUAUAGCCAAUAGUGUGUUAAAAAACAAAUAUUUUAGAAAAUAAGGUAUAUUUAAAAAAAAUAUCUUUGAUGCAUUCGAAAAGUUUAUAUUAAAGCUAAAUACCAACAAAAAAAAAUUGACAUAUCCAAAUUAAACAAAAAACAAAAAAGCUAAAUUGUGUUCCAUCAAUUUUUCCCGCCCAAACUUGAGCGAUUGGGAGUUGUCGUCUGAUGAGAUAUUUAUGAGAAUCAUUAUUGGAGAAAGUCCAAACGAAAAUUUUUUAAAGCAUUUGUUUGUCGUCUGCCAGGCCAAUGGAGAAAAUGAUGAUAGGUGGCUUUUAUCUCGCGUUACUCUGUGUUCUUUUUUUUUCUUCUUACUUGAGAUGGCUCUUUCUCUCUCUUAUCGAAUGGAAUGCAUUUGAAAAUUUUCAAACAACCAGACUGACAACGCUGGCAUGGAAUCGUUUGAUGGAUGGAGUAAAUUGGCGGGAAAACUAGAUAUCAGCCGAAAUAUGACUUUCUUCUGCUUUUUUAACUCUAUAGCACUCGCGGUUUCUCUCUUUUUAGAAUAAUUUUACAUUACAUUAUAAAAAGUUUAUAUAUUCUUACAUCAUGAAUUGUUCAAUGAAAUUUAUAAACUGGUAUGUGUGUAUAAUAGAACGAAAAUACGUAUAUUUAAAAAAUAUAUAGAUAAAAUUGGGUAACAAAUAAAUGUUGGCAAUGUGUUAUUUUGUUUUUAUCUCUACAGACCUUACUGCAAUAAUAAAAGUUAUUGAAUGAAAGGACUUAGCUCAUCAGUGGUUAAUGCUCACAGCGGUUUCACCAAAUUAAUCUCCAGACAGCUCUACUAUUGUAUUGGAUUGAUUUUGUUAUAUACCCUGUCUUUUCUAUGGAAGGUAGCUUAGGGAUGUUUAAGGAAUCUAUGGAUAUAAUCUUAUGGGAUUUUUCUAGUAAGUCUAUGACUUUUUUUUUUAAUAUCGAGGAAAAACAACUAGGUACGCGUUUCGGGCUGUUGGCUCUGAUCAGCGUGAUGUAGGUGGUACGUUGAAGGCUUUCCUGUUCCAAAAUCACUUUAUUAGGUACCGCUCAACAAGAGCAACCUAUUCACGAUAAAAUUGUGAAAAAGUUUUAAAAUUACAAAUAUUUUCUCACAAUGAGUUUAUUUUUAUUAAAAAACGCUAGCUUUCAAGCGAUAAUCGCUCUUCAACGGGCUUACUAUAAUAUCGACUUUAUCCCACCAGAAAUAUUUACAAAAACAAACGCGCGCAGCGUGGAUAUUUAUAACUGAAACAUUCAAUGAUCUAUCAACAUAUUGCAUAGACCGGUCACCAAUUCAACAUAACACAAACGAAAUGUCACUACAAAAACAUAAGAACAAAUUUCAACGGUUACUCUUAGAAUCUCUCGUUUCCAAUGAAUAUAACAGCAUAAACAGGAAGAUACCAUCACAAUACCUUAGAUAUCUCAGAAGAAAUCAAUAGAUCAAUUUUAUAGGUUAUGGAUGCCCUAAAAAUUAAAAUAGACGUAUUCCAUAAAAGAGUUAAAUUACAAACCAAUUUAAAAUUUUCAGUUAUAAAUAUAUAUCCACGCUGCGCGCGUUUGUUUUUGUAAAUAUUUCUGGGGGAUAAAGUCGAUAUUAUAGUAAGCCCGUUGAAGAGCGAUUAACGCUUGAAAGCUAGCGUUUUUUUAAUUAAAAAAAACUCAUUGUGAGAAAAUAUUCGUAAUUUAAAAGAGCAACCUAGUUUGUGAUAAUUUCAACAAUGAAUAAUAUAUGAAGGUUAUUCACCUAUUAAACAAAAUGUUAACGUGGGAUUCAAUUCCGGUUCAUGACUGUCGGGAAUCGAGCGUGUUACCCACUCGUCCACCGACUCUUUGCGUUGAAGGCUUGGUUCAAAUUCACAUAAAUAGGUACCGCUCAGCAAGAGCAACCUAGUUCAUGAUAAUUGAACAAUGAAUAAUAUGUGAAGGUUAUUCACAUAUUAAACAAAAUGUUAACGCGGGAUUCAAUCCUGGUUCAUGGCUUUCGGGAAUCGAGCGUGUUACCCACUCGUCCACCGACUUAUUUUUAUCUGCGUUGAAGGCCUGGUUCAAAUUCACAUAAAUAGGUACCGCUCAGCAAGAGCAACCUAGUUCAUGAUAAUUGAACAAUGAAUAAUAUGUGAAGGUUAUUCACAUAUUAAACAAAAUGUUAACGCGGGAUACAAUCCCGGUUCAUGGCUGUCGGGAAUCGAGCGUGU
Non-coding RNA from Cordylochernes scorpioides, 10766 nucleotides. The record is from the annotation of a GenBank genome assembly. Lineage: Eukaryota; Metazoa; Arthropoda; Arachnida; Pseudoscorpiones; Chernetidae.